This 413-nucleotide ribosomal RNA is filed under the name uncultured bacterium. RNAcentral describes it as "bacterial SSU rRNA". It matches the Rfam family "Bacterial small subunit ribosomal RNA", at positions 30 to 442 of the family's 1533-position model. The record is from RNAcentral.
AUUGAACGCUGGCGGCAUGCUUUACACAUGCAAGUCGAACGGUAACAGGCCGCAAGGUGCUGACGAGUGGCGAACGGGUGAGUAAUGCAUCGGAACGUGCCCAGUCGUGGGGGAUAACGCAGCGAAAGCUGCGCUAAUACCGCAUACGAUCUAUGGAUGAAAGCGGGGGACCUGUAAGGGCCUCGCGCGAUUGGAGCGGCCGAUGUCAGAUUAGGUAGUUGGUGGGGUAAAGGCUCACCAAGCCGACGAUCUGUAGCUGGUCUGAGAGGACGACCAGCCACACUGGGACUGAGACACGGCCCAGACUCCUACGGGAGGCAGCAGUGGGGAAUUUUGGGACAAUGGGCGCAAGCCUGAUCCAGCAAUGCCGCGUGCAGGAAGAAGGCCUUCGGUUGGUAAACUGACUUUGUUAC